RNAcentral lists this ribosomal RNA (600 nucleotides) under uncultured Alphaproteobacteria bacterium. Its description in RNAcentral is "bacterial SSU rRNA". It matches the Rfam family "Bacterial small subunit ribosomal RNA", at positions 54 to 699 of the family's 1533-position model. Lineage: Bacteria; Pseudomonadati; Pseudomonadota; Alphaproteobacteria. The record is from RNAcentral.
CAUGCAAGUCGAACGAAGUAGCAAUACUUAGUGGCAGACGGGUGAGUAACAUGUAGGUAUCUGCCCUUUGGCCUGGAAUAACACGAGGAAACUUGUGCUAAUACCGGAUAAGUCUUUACGGAGAAAGCUUUAUGCACCAUUGGAUGAGCCUGCACUUGAUUAGUUUGUUGGUGGGGUAAUGGCCUACCAAGACUGUGAUCAAUAGCUGAUUUGAGAGGAUGAUCAGCCACAUUGGGACUGAGACACGGCCCAAACUCCUACGGGAGGCAGCAGUGGGGAAUCUUGCACAAUGGAGGAAACUCUGAUGCAGCGAUGCCGCGUGAGUGAAGAAGGCCCUUGGGUUGUAAAGCUCUUUCGUCGGGGAAGAAAAUGACUGUACCCGAAUAAGAAGGUCCGGCUAACUUCGUGCCAGCAGCCGCGGUAAUACGAAGGGACCUAGCGUAGUUCGGAAUUACUGGGCUUAAAGAGUUCGUAGGUGGUUGAAAAAGUUAGUGGUGAAAUCCCAGAGCUUAACUCUGGAACUGCCAUUAAAACUUUUCAGCUAGAGUAUGAUAGAGGAAAGCAGAAUUUCUAGUGUAGAGGUGAAAUUCGUAGAUAUUA